Molecule: ribosomal RNA, 791 nt
Filed under: uncultured bacterium
Lineage: Bacteria
Description: bacterial SSU rRNA
Rfam family: Bacterial small subunit ribosomal RNA
Source: RNAcentral
AGAGUUUGAUCAUGGCUCAGAUUGAACGCUGGCGGCAUGCCUUACACAUGCAAGUCGAGCGGCAGCGCGGGGGCAACCCUGGCGGCGAGCGGCGAACGGGUGAGUAAUGCAUCGGAACGUGUCCUCUUGUGGGGGAUAACCAGUCGAAAGACUGGCUAAUACCGCAUGAGAUCGAGAGAUGAAAGCAAGGGACCGCAAGGCCUUGCGCGAGAGGAGCGGCCGAUGCCGGAUUAGCUAGUUGGUGGGGUAACGGCCUACCAAGGCGACGAUCCGUAGCUGGUCUGAGAGGACGACCAGCCACACUGGGACUGAGACACGGCCCAGACUCCUACGGGAGGCAGCAGUGGGGAAUUUUGGACAAUGGGGGCAACCCUGAUCCAGCCAUGCCGCGUGUGUGAAGAAGGCCUUCGGGUUGUAAAGCACUUUCGGACGGAACGAAAUCGCGCGAGUUAAUAGUUCGCGUGGAUGACGGUACCGUAAGAAGAAGCACCGGCUAACUACGUGCCAGCAGCCGCGGUAAUACGUAGGGUGCGAGCGUUAAUCGGAAUUACUGGGCGUAAAGUGUGCGCAGGCGGCUCCGCAAGUCGAGUGUGAAAUCCCCGAGCUUAACUUGGGAAUUGCGCUCGAAACUACGGAGCUGGAGUGUGGCAGAGGAAGGUGGAAUUCCACGUAGCGGUGAAAUGCGUAGAUAUGUGGAGGAACACCGAUGGCGAAGGCAGCCUUCUGGGCCAACACUGACGCUCAUGCACGAAAGCGUGGGGAGCAAACAGGAUUAGAUACCCUAGUAGUCC